Juglans microcarpa x Juglans regia is the source of this 155-nucleotide long non-coding RNA. RefSeq lists it as uncharacterized. Lineage: Eukaryota; Viridiplantae; Streptophyta; Magnoliopsida; Fagales; Juglandaceae. The record is from RefSeq and is a predicted model, not a curated record. The transcript is spliced from 3 exons.
GAGAGGAAUGAAAAAAUACUAGUAAUUGGUGUGGAGGGGAAGAUCUGUUUAUGAUAUAGUUCAAGAAAGAGUCAUCUCAUUUCCUUAAUUCUUUGUUCUUUCUAAUUCAUUCACUUCAAGUCUAGUUUUGAACACGGUGUAACAUCACCUUCAAC